GGAAUAUUGGACAAUGGGGGCAACCCUGAUCCAGCGACGCCGCGUGGGUGAAGAAGGCCUGCGGGUUGUAAAGCCCUUUCGGUUGGGAAGAAAAGUUGCGACCUAACACGUUGUGACCUUGACGUAACCAACUAAAGAAGCACCGGCUAACUCUGUUCCAGCAGCCGCGGUAAUACAGAGGGUGCGAGCGUUAAUCGGAAUUACUGGGCGUAAAGCGCGCGUAGGCGGCUUUGUAAGUCGGUUGUGAAAUCCCCGGGCUCAACCUGGGAACUGCAUCCGAGACUGCAUGGCUAGAGUAUGGGAGAGGGAAGUGGAAUUUCAGGUGUAGCGGUGAAAUGCGUAGAUAUCUGAAGGAACAUCAGUGGCGAAAGCGACUUCCUGGACCAAUACUGACGCUCAUGUGCGAAAGCGUGGGGAGC
RNAcentral lists this ribosomal RNA (419 nucleotides) under uncultured bacterium. RNAcentral describes it as "bacterial SSU rRNA". It matches the Rfam family "Bacterial small subunit ribosomal RNA", at positions 358 to 769 of the family's 1533-position model. The record is from RNAcentral.